GGAUUCGCGGCGGACGGGUGAGUUAUGCCUAGGAAUCUGCCUGGUAGUGGGGGACAACGUUUCGAAAGGAACGCUAAUACCGCAUACGUCCUACGGGAGAAAGCAGGGGACCUUCGGGCCUUGCGCUAUCAGAUGAGCCUAGGUCGGAUUAGCUAGUUGGUGGGGUAAAGGCCUACCAAGGCGACGAUCCGUAACUGGUCUGAGAGGAUGAUCAGUCACACUGGAACUGAGACACGGUCCAGACUCCUACGGGAGGCAGCAGUGGGGAAUAUUGGACAAUGGGCGAAAGCCUGAUCCAGCCAUGCCGCGUGUGUGAAGAAGGUCUUCGGAUUGUAAAGCACUUUAAGUUGGGAGGAAGGGCAGUAAGUUAAUACCUUGCUGUUUUGACGUUACCAACAGAAUAAGCACCGGCUAACUUCGUGCCAGCAGCCGCGGUAAUACGAAGGGUGCAAGCGUUAAUCGGAAUUACUGGGCGUAAAGCGCGCGUAGGUGGUUUGGUAAGAUGGAUGUGAAAUCCCCGGGCUCAACCUGGGAACUGCAUCCAUAACUGCCUGACUAGAGUACGGUAGAGGGUGGUGGAAUUUCCUGUGUAGCGGUGAAAUGCGUANAUAUAGGAAGGAACACCAGUGGCGAAGGCGACCACCUGGACUGAUACUGACACUGAGGUGCGAAAGCGUGGGGAGCAAACAGGA
Molecule: ribosomal RNA, 692 nt
Filed under: Pseudomonas nitroreducens
Lineage: Bacteria; Pseudomonadati; Pseudomonadota; Gammaproteobacteria; Pseudomonadales; Pseudomonadaceae
Description: bacterial SSU rRNA
Rfam family: Bacterial small subunit ribosomal RNA
Source: RNAcentral